Long non-coding RNA from Drosophila mojavensis, 1879 nucleotides. RefSeq lists it as uncharacterized. NCBI's taxonomy places the organism in Eukaryota, Metazoa, Arthropoda, Insecta, Diptera, Drosophilidae. The record is from RefSeq and is a predicted model, not a curated record. The transcript is spliced from 3 exons.
UGUAAAGAAAUCGAGUCGCCAAAAUUGUUGUGCUCAAACUGUCGUAAAAUAAUAAGCUUUAUUGAGAGUUUAAAGAGUUUUUGUCGAUUUCGCACAUGUGUCGGAUCGUAGUCAGCGCUCUUCUUUUGCAUGUGCGUGUGCAUUAAUAAAAUGUGAUCAGCUAAUUUUUGCAAAUUCUAAUGAUGCUCUUUGUUCUGUUAGGUGUGUGUGUAUUUGUGCGCAAAAAAUGGCGCUCGAGCAAGUAAAGUUGCAUCAAACAUGUUCGAUUGAGCGAAGAACUGUGAUGCUGGAAAUCGUUUUUAGAAUUACGAAUGAUAUUUGUCAACUUCAUUCGCUAUGCCUAGCAAGAUAAUUACAAUUUGUUAAUAUGCAUAAUUGAUUAUUGAGGUCGUUUAGUGCCUUUUUCUGUGUCAUUUGAGGGGCUGCAAUUAAUAGUCCAGUCGUAUACACAUACUUACAUACAAAUCAUGUAAAAUUGCUUCAAACAUGUUCGAUCCAGAAACUUUAAGCCUGUGUGAUUGCAUGAAACUUAAUUAGAUGAGUUUAGCCAUAUAAGUGCUUCGAAUAAUCUUCGUUUUCAGUGUUUAAUUGCCACUCAAACACAUGCGUAUGUAUGUAUGCUUGUAUUUAUAUGUACAUAUUUAUUCACAUGUGAAUUUGGCUGAGCAAAAUUGGAAGAACAACAGCAAAGUGGAUAGAGCAAAAGAGACAACGAAAUGCUGGGAGCACAAAACUAAACACGCUCCAGCCAAUCGCGUCGCGGCCGACGCAACGCGUGAAUUCGCAGUCGCUGUGAACAAAUUGUUGACCGCACGAUUCAGUGGCAAAACGAAGACUGAAAUCCGCCAGUUGGCGCACUCGUUAUUUUAUACGCUCGCAGCCGACAGGCUCACACACACACACGAACCAAGACAAAUUAACACGGACGCGAACCCAUCUGUGCUGUCAGCGUUGUAAGGCAGAGCGCACGACUGUUUACAGUCGCACAGGAGUUUUGUGUGCAACCAGAAUGGAGAGAACUUACCUUGGUUAGUCCGGCACUUGACUAGUACAUUGCCUGAUAUCAUCUUUAGUUGCGGCAUAGCCAGACCAGACCAGGCCAGCCAGAACUUGACUUUUUAGAGCUGGCCCAAACAGUUGCUAAAUCGUAAAAACCAAACCGGAAAAGGACGAACAUAAAAACUGGGCCGCUUCGUUCUUAGUGUCGCUCGCAACCGGCUUGUAAUAAUGCCACAGGAAUGUCAGCGCGUCAAGGAUUCUCAUAUUAAGGACAUUCAAUUGACAGCGACUGCUGUUGACGACAAUGGCAUAGGCAUAAAUUACCACUUAAUAAAAUAGUUGAGUUGAAAAGCGAAUGGUAAAAUGGGUGGUGGGAGGUGGUGAGUGAGAAGCUGGAAAGCUGCGAUACGGUUGUCUAUCAAAAUUUAAUAGCAAGCAUGACGAAAAUCGCAUGGAUUGAAAGGAAUGACUGACUCUAUCGGGUUUUCAUAUUAUUAAAUUAAGUUUUCAUAAGGGUUAUACGUAAAAGCAGCAAACAUAGCAGCAAUAACAAGCGAAAAAUAAACAAUAGAAGAGAUUUUCUUUUCUGAAAUAGAGAUCUGAGAUAUGGCAGAAAAAUUAUUUUAUUUUGUUGAGUACUAAAACAAAUAAGUGGAAAAGAUAGGAAAAAGUUGUUUAUAUGUUUAUAAAUCAUUUAAUAUAUAUAAGUCAUGCAAAUAAAUUAUUAAGUUAUAUAUGAAACUAAAUUUUCUGAUGAAUUGUAAUAGCUUAAACGGUUUGAUAUAUUUUCAAAGGACUUAUAUAUAUACAUAAAACUUUAAACUAAAGUAGAAUUACCAAAAUCUUAUUUAAUAAAUUUAAGCACAUAAGUGAAUCAGAA